UGAACGCUGGCGGCAGGCCUAACACAUGCACGUCGAGCGGAUGAAGGGAGCUUGCUCCUGGAUUCAGCGGCGGACGGGUGAGUAAUGCCUAGGAAUCUGCCUGGUAGUGGGGGAUAACGUCCGGAAACGGGCGCUAAUACCGCAUACGUCCCGAGGGAGAAAGUGGGGGAUCUUCGGACCUCACGCUAUCAGAUGAGCCUAGGUCGGAUUAGCUAGUUGGUGGGGUAAAGGCCUACCAAGGCGACGAUCCGUAACUGGUCUGAGAGGAUGAUCAGUCACACUGGAACUGAGACACGGUCCAGACUCCUACGGGAGGCAGCAGUGGGGAAUAUUGGACAAAGGGCGAAAGCCUGAUCCAGCCAUGCCGCGUGUGUGAAGAAGGUCUUCGGAUUGUAAAGCACUUUAAGUUGGGAGGAAGGGCAGUAAGUUAAUACCUUGCUGUUUUGACGUUACCAACAGAAUAAGCACCGGCUAACUUCGUG
RNAcentral lists this ribosomal RNA (482 nucleotides) under uncultured bacterium. RNAcentral describes it as "partial 16S ribosomal RNA". It matches the Rfam family "Bacterial small subunit ribosomal RNA", at positions 30 to 507 of the family's 1533-position model. The record is from RNAcentral.